UACGAAGGUCCCAAGCGUUAUUCGGAAUCACUGGGCGUAAAGGGAGCGUAGGCGGCGUGGUAAGUCAGAUGUGAAAUCCCGGGGCUCAACCCCGGAACUGCAUCCGAUACUGCCGUGCUAGAGGAUUGGAGAGGUAGCUGGAAUUCUUGGUGUAGCAGUGAAAUGCGUGGAUAUCAAGAGGAACACUCGUGGCGAAAGCGAGCUACUGGACAACUCCUGACGCUGAGGCUCGAAGGCCAGGGUAGCGAAAGGG
RNAcentral lists this ribosomal RNA (253 nucleotides) under uncultured bacterium. RNAcentral describes it as "partial 16S ribosomal RNA". It matches the Rfam family "Bacterial small subunit ribosomal RNA", at positions 524 to 776 of the family's 1533-position model. The record is from RNAcentral.